RNAcentral lists this ribosomal RNA (237 nucleotides) under uncultured Staphylococcus sp. RNAcentral describes it as "partial 16S ribosomal RNA". It matches the Rfam family "Bacterial small subunit ribosomal RNA", at positions 103 to 334 of the family's 1533-position model. The record is from RNAcentral. Lineage: Bacteria; Bacillati; Bacillota; Bacilli; Caryophanales; Staphylococcaceae.
CGGGUGAGUAACACGUGGAUAACAUACCUAUAAGACUGGGAUAACUUCGGGAAACCGGAGCUAAUACCGGAUAAUAUAUUGAACCGCAUGGUUCAAUAGUGAAAGACGGUUUUGCUGUCACUUAUAGAUGGAUCCGCGCCGCAUUAGCUAGUUGGUAAGGUAACGGCUUACCAAGGCAACGAUGCGUAGCCGACCUGAGAGGGUGAUCGGCCACACUGGAACUGAGACACGGUCCAG